UGGACAAAUUAUUAUAUUCGACUGUAUUCACGGCGUGAAAUAGGGGAUUACACUGUUUUUAAACGGAAAGUGAAUCAGUUAACAUAAUAGACUCCU
Molecule: microRNA precursor, 96 nt
Organism: Nicotiana attenuata
Lineage: Eukaryota; Viridiplantae; Streptophyta; Magnoliopsida; Solanales; Solanaceae
Rfam family: MIR6152 microRNA precursor family
Source: Rfam